GACGGAGGGUGCUAGCGUUGUUCGGAAUGACUGGGCGUAAAGGGCGCGUAGGCGGCUCAAGGAGUCGGGUGUGAAAGCCCGGGGCUCAACCCCGGAACGGCAUCCGAUACUCUUGGGCUCGAGACCGGGAGAGGAGGGUGGAAUACCCAGUGUAGAGGUGAAAUUCGUAGAUAUUGGGUGGAACACCGGUGGCGAAAGCGGCUCUCUGGCCCGGAUCUGACGCUGAGGCGCGAAAGCGUGGGGAGCAAACAGG
Molecule: ribosomal RNA, 253 nt
Filed under: uncultured bacterium
Lineage: Bacteria
Description: partial 16S ribosomal RNA
Rfam family: Bacterial small subunit ribosomal RNA
Source: RNAcentral